CCUACGGGUAGCAGCAGUGGGGAAUAUUGCACAAUGGGGGAAACCCUGAUGCAGCGACGCCGCGUGAGUGAAGAAGUAAUUCGUUAUGUAAAGCUCUAUCAGCAGGGAAGAAAAUGACGGUACCUGAGUAAGAAGCCCCGGCUAACUACGUGUCAGCAGCCGCGGUAAUACGUAGGGGGCACGCGUUAUCCGCAGUGACUGGGUGUAAAGGGGGCGUAGACGGGAGUGCAGGUCUGGAGUGAAAGGCGAGGGCUCAACCCCCGUGCUGCUAUGGAUACUGUACGGCUGGAGUGCAGGAGAGGUAAGUGGAAUUCCUAGUGUAGCGGUGAAAUGCGUAGAUAUUAGGAGGAACACCAGAGGCGAAGGCGACUAACUGGACUGUAACUGACGCUGAGGCUCGAAAGCGUGGGGAGCAAACAGGAUUAGAUACCCUUGUAGUC
Molecule: ribosomal RNA, 440 nt
Filed under: uncultured bacterium
Lineage: Bacteria
Description: partial 16S ribosomal RNA
Rfam family: Bacterial small subunit ribosomal RNA
Source: RNAcentral